CUACGGGUGGCAGCAGUGAGGAAUAUUGCACAAUGGGGGGAACCCUGAUGCAGCAACGCCGCGUGGAGGAUGACGCAUUUCGGUGUGUAAACUCCUUUUAUAUGUCAAGAAAAUGACGGUAGCAUAUGAACAAGCACCGGCUAACUCCGUGCCAGCAGCCGCGGUAAUACGGAGGGUGCAAGCGUUACUCGGAAUCACUGGGCGUAAAGGACGCGUAGGCGGGUUGGAAAGUCAGGUGUGAAAUCCUACAGCUUAACUGUAGAACUGCACUUGAAACUUCUAAUCUAGAGUAUGGGAGGGGGAGAUGGAAUUAGUGGUGUAGAGGUAAAAUCCGUAGAUAUCACUAGGAAUACCUAAAGCGAAGGCGAUCUCCUGGAACAUUACUGACGCUAAGGCGUGAAAGCGUGGGGAGCAAACAGGAUUAGAUACCCGGGUAGUC
RNAcentral lists this ribosomal RNA (439 nucleotides) under uncultured bacterium. RNAcentral describes it as "partial 16S ribosomal RNA". It matches the Rfam family "Bacterial small subunit ribosomal RNA", at positions 339 to 795 of the family's 1533-position model. The record is from RNAcentral.